CAAUGCCGCGUGGGUGAAGAAGGUUUUCGGAUUGUAAAGCCCUUUUGGCGGGGACGAUGAUGACGGUACCCGCAGAAUAAGCCCCGGCUAACUUCGUGC
RNAcentral lists this ribosomal RNA (99 nucleotides) under uncultured bacterium. RNAcentral describes it as "partial 16S ribosomal RNA". It matches the Rfam family "Bacterial small subunit ribosomal RNA", at positions 392 to 508 of the family's 1533-position model. The record is from RNAcentral.